UAGGUUUGUUGAGGUUUGGAUGCGAAGUGUGUUCAUUAAUUGAGGAUUUAGAUUACACUCUAGUAAUUGGAAACUAGUGAGAGUAAUUGAUGGAGAGCUUCUCUUCAAUUCAGCAGCCUCUAGUUUCUUCACUGAACGAUUACAGUGUUGCAUUGAGGGGAUUGACUCAUUUACAGGAUUGAGGCUGUUAAUCUGUGCAGCUUGAGUGGGUGCGGAUUUGGGAAAUCAACAACUUCACCUAGCCAGGUUGC
Molecule: long non-coding RNA, 251 nt
Organism: Zingiber officinale
Lineage: Eukaryota; Viridiplantae; Streptophyta; Magnoliopsida; Zingiberales; Zingiberaceae
Exons: 3
Source: RefSeq, a predicted model, not a curated record